CUUUUUCUUGUUUCUAAAAUCUACUACAGAUGUUGGAGACAAAUGAAAUUUUGAACCAUGAGAAAAGAAUUGGCAACGUUCCAGGUAUCAAUAUUGGGCAUCGAUUCUAUUCACGGGCUGAAAUGGUAGCUGUUGGAUUUCACAGCCACUGGCUGAAUGGAAUUGAUUACAUGGGGUUGUCAUACAGCAAAAUGUACAGUAAUUACUCCUUCCCACUUGCGGUGGCCAUAGUUUUAUCGGGCAUGUAUGAGGAUGAUUUGGAUAAUGCUGAGGAUGUCAUUUACACUGGUCAAGGAGGACAAAAUUUAACUGGCAAUAAACGUCAGAUCCGGGAUCAAAAAAUGGAACGUGGUAAUUUGGCUCUCAAGAAUUGUAUUGAGCAAGGUGUCCCAGUGAGAGUGGUUCGGGGGCAUGAAUCUGCCACUAGUUACUGUGGGAAACUCUACACAUAUGAUGGCUUGUAUAAGGUUAUACAGUAUUGGGCAGAAAAAGGUAUUUCUGGAUUUACUGUGUUUAAAUUUCGUCUUAGGCGUAUUGAAGGACAGUCGUUGUUGACUACAAACCAGGUUCAAUUUAUAUAUGGUCGGGUUCCCAAGUCAGUUUCAGAAAUACGUGGGUUGGUGUGUGAGGAUAUCGCUGGGGGUCAGGAGGAUAUUCCUAUUCCAGCAACUAAUUUGGUUGACGAUCCACCUGUUGCACCCAUAGGUUUCACUUAUUGUAAAUUCAUUAAAGUUGCACGUGGUGUGAAACUUCCUCCGAAUGCUAAUGGAUGCGACUGUAAAGAAUCAUGUAUCACUUCAAGGACAUGUUCAUGUGCUAAGCUUAAUGGAUCAGACUUCCCAUAUGUGCAACGUGAUGGUGGAAGACUUAUAGAAGCCAAGGAUGUGGUUUACGAAUGUGGUCCCAAUUGUGGUUGUGGUGUUGGUUGUGUGAAUCGAACUUCUCAGAGGGGGAUCAAAUAUCGACUUGAGGUUUUCCGAACACCAAAGAAAGGGUGGGCUGUUAGGUCUUGGGAUUUUAUACCUUCUGGCGCACCUGUUUGUGAAUACACAGGAAUACUUGCAAGGACAGAGGAUCUUGAUCAUGUAUCAGAGAAUAAUUAUAUCUUCGACAUUGAUUGUUUGCAAACAAUUAGGGGCAUCGGUGGACGAGAGAGGCGCUCAAGAGAUGCAUCCUUGCCAGCAAACAAUUCUUUGGAUGUUGUAGAUGAUCGAAGAUCCGAAAGUGUGCCAGAGUUUUGCAUUGAUGCUUGUUCCACUGGAAAUAUUGCCAGGUUUAUCAAUCAUAGUUGCGAACCUAAUCUUUUUGUCCAAUGUGUAUUGAGCUCACACCAUGACAUCAAACUUGCUCGAGUGGUACUAUUUGCUGCAGAAAACAUACCACCUCUCCAGGAACUGACAUACGACUAUGGGUAUGCACUUGAUAGCGUGUAUGGUCCAGAUGGGAAGAUAAAACAGAUGCCAUGCUUCUGUGGUGCAACUGAGUGUAGGAAACGCUUGUUUUAGUCUAGUGAAAGCCAUCAGAUGCUGGUACACUAUCAAUAUGGUAACGGUUGACAACAAUUUUUUAGUACCACAUAUGAAGGUGGACUGAGAUGUUUCUGAUGCGAAAUUCCUAGUCUAUCUCAUCUCACCACCUUGAAUACAAAGGAUGGAAAGAUGACUUUCUUUUAGUUUCUAGAAUUGUAGUUACUAGAAAGAAAAAGAAAGUGUACAGAAUCAUACAGAAGAAAUUGGAAUCCAAGGGGCCAGUCAACAAACAAGCUACUUCGUUCAGUAAAUGACGGCCACAAAAGGUAUACUGCAAAAGAUAAUUCAAUUAAAAAACAUCAUUAUUUUCAAA
This is an RNA transcript of Cucumis melo (muskmelon), 1842 nucleotides long. It is a transcript of the gene named histone-lysine N-methyltransferase, H3 lysine-9 specific SUVH4, with no coding region annotated. NCBI's taxonomy places the organism in Eukaryota, Viridiplantae, Streptophyta, Magnoliopsida, Cucurbitales, Cucurbitaceae. The record is from RefSeq and is a predicted model, not a curated record. The transcript is spliced from 14 exons.